AACGAACGCUGGCGGCAGGCUUAACACAUGCAAGUCGAACGCCCCGCAAGGGGAGUGGCAGACGGGUGAGUAACGCGUGGGAAUCUACCCAAUUCUUCGGAACAACACAUGGAAACGUGUGCUAAUACCGAAUGAGCCCUUCGGGGGAAAGAUUUAUCGGAAUUGGAUGAGCCCGCGUUGGAUUAGCUAGUUGGUGGGGUAAAGGCCUACCAAGGCGACGAUCCAUAGCUGGUCUGAGAGGAUGAUCAGCCACACUGGGACUGAGACACGGCCCAGACUCCUACGGGAGGCAGCAGUGGGGAAUAUUGGACAAUGGGCGCAAGCCUGAUCCAGCCAUGCCGCGUGAGUGAUGAAGGUCUUAGGAUUGUAAAGCUCUUUCACCGGUGAAGAUAAUGACGGUAACCGGAGAAGAAGCCCCGGCUAACUUCGUGCCAGCCGCCGCCGUAACA
RNAcentral lists this ribosomal RNA (449 nucleotides) under uncultured bacterium. Its description in RNAcentral is "bacterial SSU rRNA". It matches the Rfam family "Bacterial small subunit ribosomal RNA", at positions 29 to 525 of the family's 1533-position model. The record is from RNAcentral.